This 331-nucleotide unclassified non-coding RNA is filed under the name soil metagenome. RNAcentral's name for it is "partial contains 5.8S ribosomal RNA, internal transcribed spacer 2, and large subunit ribosomal RNA". The stretch from base 1 to 120 matches the Rfam family "5.8S ribosomal RNA", at positions 35 to 154 of the family's 154-position model. The record is from RNAcentral.
GAUGAAGAACGCAGCGAAAUGCGAUAAGUAAUGUGAAUUGCAGAAUUCAGUGAAUCAUCGAAUCUUUGAACGCACAUUGCGCCCCCUGGUAUUCCGGGGGGCAUGCCUGUUCGAGCGUCAUUUGACCACUCAAGCCUCGCUUGGUAUUGGGCAACGCGGUCCGCCGCGUGCCUCAAAUCGACCGGCUGGGUCUUCUGUCCCCUAAGCGUUGUGGAAACUAUUCGCUAAAGGGUGUUCGGGAGGCUACGCCGUAAAACAACCCCAUUUCUAAGGUUGACCUCGGAUCAGGUAGGGAUACCCGCUGAACUUAAGCAUAUCAAUAAGCGGAGGA